RNAcentral lists this ribosomal RNA (506 nucleotides) under Fusarium sp. Its description in RNAcentral is "eukaryotic LSU rRNA". The stretch from base 161 to 314 matches the Rfam family "5.8S ribosomal RNA". Lineage: Eukaryota; Fungi; Ascomycota; Sordariomycetes; Hypocreales; Nectriaceae. The record is from RNAcentral.
GGAGGGUCAUUACCGAGUUUACAACUCCCAAACCCCUGUGAACAUACCACUUGUUGCCUCGGCGGAUCAGCCCGCUCCCGGUAAAACGGGACGGCCCGCCAGAGGACCCCUAAACUCUGUUUCUAUAUGUAACUUCUGAGUAAAACCAUAAAUAAAUCAAAACUUUCAACAACGGAUCUCUUGGUUCUGGCAUCGAUGAAGAACGCAGCAAAAUGCGAUAAGUAAUGUGAAUUGCAGAAUUCAGUGAAUCAUCGAAUCUUUGAACGCACAUUGCGCCCGCCAGUAUUCUGGCGGGCAUGCCUGUUCGAGCGUCAUUUCAACCCUCAAGCACAGCUUGGUGUUGGGACUCGCGUUAAUUCGCGUUCCUCAAAUUGAUUGGCGGUCACGUCGAGCUUCCAUAGCGUAGUAGUAAAACCCUCGUUACUGGUAAUCGUCGCGGCCACGCCGUUAAACCCCAACUUCUGAAUGUUGACCUCGGAUCAGGUAGGAAUACCCGCUGAACUUAA